Long non-coding RNA from Oncorhynchus tshawytscha (Chinook salmon), 373 nucleotides. RefSeq lists it as uncharacterized. Lineage: Eukaryota; Metazoa; Chordata; Actinopteri; Salmoniformes; Salmonidae. The record is from RefSeq and is a predicted model, not a curated record. The transcript has 3 exons.
GGAAUCUGCAAUGCGAUCGCAAAAACUAGAUUUACCUACUAGAAUAACCACCAUGGCUGCCCCCUGCACUGAAAACAAUCACAAACAAGGCACACUGGAAUUUGCUCUGGACGUCCCGUUCCAAUCAACUCGCGAAGCGUCCAUCGCGCUCCAGUCCCUCUCCCCUGACCGCGAGCCCCGGAAAGGAGGCAUCAGCAAGGAGCUCACGGUUUCCGGUAGCACGCUGUCUGUGAGGUGGAGGGCAGUAUCCUGCCUGUCACUGUAGGGUCGUUUAUGAACCACCUGUCCCUGGCGAUGGAAACCAUGGAGUUGUUCGGGCCACCUGUCCCUGGCGAUGGAAACCAUGGAGUUGUUCGGACCACCUGUCCCUGGC